UGGUGCUCUGUGUGUGUGGAAAAGCGUUCUCUGUCUGUAGGGUGGGCCUGGGGAUGUCAGUGCGUGGGCAAAGGUGAGCCGUCAUUUUCCAUGGGCGCACCAAAGGAGAGAUCUCCGAGGACAAGCUGGAUGGAUGAUGGAUGGACUUUACAUAUGCAUUCAUCCAUCUGGCUCAAGGCCAAAAGGUAUCCCUGCAGCAGUAAGAUGUGAACUGUGGGCACUGCAGAAAAAAGGCUGCAGGCCCCCACUCGCAGCUCUUCCGCCGCCGCCGUCACGGAAAAGGGAAGGGAGCAAGCUCCGGCGGCGCGCGGAGCAACCUGACGUUCCACAACAACGCCGGCAGGGUGUUGGUGACGUCACGGCUGCCCUCCUGCAGAUCCCGGGCAUGGUAAAGGCUGCGGCGCUUGCGGCCGUGGCAUUCCGGCCGGUGGUGUCCGCCAUGACCUCGACUAACAGCCGCCCGGAGGCCACGGCAUCGUCGUUCGCCAUCGACGAGCUCGUGUCGCUGCCCUUCGUCAACGUAGCAUCGCACGAUCGCCGUUGUCCGCGAGCACUACGCCGCCGUUCUCAACCAGAUCACCUCCCGAGGCUACCUAGUACCAGAGCGUGGUCCUCCUAUGAGCCCAUCGAGGAAGUCGGCCAGCCGCAUUUUGUAGAGCACCGACCUUGCGAAGCAGCUCGACUCUCCGUGAACUCCAGGAGCCAUUGUCACCAUCUCUAAAUAACAAGCAUGGGAGGAAGAUGAAAGGGAAGAUGGGGAGCGGAGGGAGCAGCCAGAGGUGGAAGAAGGGGGGCAUAGGAAUGGGGUGGAGGGGCGCCGUUUUCUUUACUGGUGUCCGCCGGAGCUCCCUCCCCUCCCUUCCCCACGGCGGCGGCGGGGCAAGCCGCGCAAUUUCCUCCGAGAGGAUCCUACCUGCGCUCGUUAGAAAGGCUAAGGGGAACGAGAAGAAGACGAAAUAAAGGGGAUUAGUGGUUGGCCGUGCGAUUUCAAUUAACGGUGGAUAUGGUGCAGCAAGGCACGCUAUGCUGAAUGUGCAAGGCACUGGCCGUACUAAUUCUUUCUUUUUAUAAGAUGAUACAGUGGAGUAGCUUUGUCUCGAGUCAAAAGAUUGAAACAAGUUUAUAGAAAAAUCUAUUGACAUUUACGACUUGAAAUGUAACUUUUCUUUUAAGAGUGGGCAAUGCAGUGGGAUGCAUUUUUAUGUGA
Brachypodium distachyon (stiff brome) is the source of this 1207-nucleotide long non-coding RNA. RefSeq lists it as uncharacterized. NCBI's taxonomy places the organism in Eukaryota, Viridiplantae, Streptophyta, Magnoliopsida, Poales, Poaceae. The record is from RefSeq and is a predicted model, not a curated record. The transcript has 3 exons.